This 77-nucleotide transfer RNA is filed under the name Hyphomicrobiales bacterium. RNAcentral describes it as "Rhizobiales bacterium (beach sand metagenome) tRNA-Arg". It matches the Rfam family "tRNA". Rfam says of the family: Transfer RNA (tRNA) molecules are approximately 80 nucleotides in length. Their secondary structure includes four short double-helical elements and three loops (D, anti-codon, and T loops). The record is from RNAcentral. Lineage: Bacteria; Pseudomonadati; Pseudomonadota; Alphaproteobacteria; Hyphomicrobiales.
CCGCCCGUAGCUCAACUGGAUAGAGUAUCGGGCUUCGAUCCCGAAGGUUGCAGGUUCGAGUCCUGCCGGGCGGGCCA